Molecule: long non-coding RNA, 784 nt
Organism: Raphanus sativus (radish)
Lineage: Eukaryota; Viridiplantae; Streptophyta; Magnoliopsida; Brassicales; Brassicaceae
Exons: 2
Source: RefSeq, a predicted model, not a curated record
CAUUAAAACUAAAGAAAAAUUAGAAACCAAAAUUUUUUCUCUGUUCAAAAUGAAAUUAGAAACAAGAAUUCUAAAACAACUAACAUUAAAGAAUAAAACUUAUUCUGUCAGUUGAGAAAAUAAAGUAUAACAACCAAAAAAAAUCCUAUUGGCUGAUUCGGAAGCACGGGGAUCAAGCUUUUCACCGUCGGAUGAGACUGGAUCCGAUGGACCAAAGCUGUUCCUUUUCUUCAGAUCUUCAUACAUAAGCUUUCUUCACUGCUGGCCUCAACAUCUCCUCUCUUCUCUUUCGUUAGAAGAUCUCUGCUCCAUGUCUCUCCACCCUCGCAAAAUCUCUGCCUUCAUCUUUCUCCAUCUUCUCUACCGCCUCAGUUAAUGGUGGUCUAUUAUAAGUUUGACUUCCAUCAUCUCUCUUCUGCGUGGCACUGAUUUUGGUGCAUGCUGAAUGAGUGGUCUCUCUGUCUUUUGAUGAAUCCUCUUCCUCCAUUUGAUAUCACGCUCGCCGUCUCCCCACCACUCUACCACGGAAGGUGAGGAUGCAGAAGAAGCUUGAUGGGGGAGGAGACAAGACCAGCCGUGGUCGUAGUGGCUACUGUGUGGCGGAGGCAAGGCGAGGCAGGCAUGGCCGCUUAUUUUUUAGGGUUGAUUUUUUUUAUCAUUUGGUUUAGUUUUUUUUUUAUCAUUUGGUUUAGUUAUCUAAACCGAAUUUUAUUUUAAACCAAUUUCAUUUUGUAAACCGAUUUAUAUUUAUUUCGAUUUAUAGAUAGUAACCAAUUGAAACUGA